GAUGAACGCUGGCGGCGUGCUUAACACAUGCAAGUCGAACGGUGAAGGCGGAGCUUGCUCUGCUGGAUCAGUGGCGAACGGGUGAGUAACACGUGAGCAAUCUGCCCCUGACUCUGGGAUAAGCGCUGGAAACGGCGUCUAAUACUGGAUACGAGCUGCGAAGGCAUCUUCAGCAGCUGGAAAGAACUUCGGUCAGGGAUGAGCUCGCGGCCUAUCAGCUUGUUGGUGAGGUAACGGCUCACCAAGGCGUCGACGGGUAGCCGGCCUGAGAGGGUGACCGGCCACGCUGGGACUGAGACACGGCCCAGACUCCUACGGGAGGCAGCAGUGGGGAAGAGUGCACAAUGGGCGAAAGCCUGGUGCAGCAACGCAGCGUGAGGGACGACGGCCUUCGGGUUGUAAACCUCUUUUAGCAGGGAAGAAGCGAAAGUGACGGUACCUGCAGAAAAAGCGCCGGCUAACUACGUG
This 468-nucleotide ribosomal RNA is filed under the name uncultured bacterium. Its description in RNAcentral is "partial 16S ribosomal RNA". It matches the Rfam family "Bacterial small subunit ribosomal RNA", at positions 28 to 507 of the family's 1533-position model. The record is from RNAcentral.